RNAcentral lists this ribosomal RNA (791 nucleotides) under uncultured Gammaproteobacteria bacterium. RNAcentral's name for it is "bacterial SSU rRNA". It matches the Rfam family "Bacterial small subunit ribosomal RNA", at positions 73 to 859 of the family's 1533-position model. Lineage: Bacteria; Pseudomonadati; Pseudomonadota; Gammaproteobacteria. The record is from RNAcentral.
GGUGUAGCAAUACAUGCUGACGAGCGGCGAACGGGUGAGUAAUGCUUUGGAAUCUUCCCAGUAGUGGGGAAUAACCAGUCGAAAGAUUGGCUAAUACCGCAUACGUCUGUAAAGGGAAAGCGGGGGCUCGUAAGACCUCGCGCUAUUGGAUGAGCCAAAGUCGGAUUAGCUAGUUGGUGGGGUAAUGGCCUACCAAGGCGACAAUCCGUAGCUGGUCUGAGAGGACGACCAGCCACACCGGAACUGAGACACGGUCCGGACUCCUACGGGAGGCAGCAGUGGGGAAUAUUGGUCAAUGGGGGAAACCCUGAUCCAGCGACGCCGCGUGUGUGAAGAAGGCCUGCGGGUUGUAAAGCACUUUUAGUGGGGACAAAAAGCCACGGAUUAAUACUCUGUGGUCUUGAUUUAACCCAAAGAAAAAGCACCGGCUAACUCUGUGCCAGCAGCCGCGGUAAUACAGAGGGUGCGAGCGUUAAUCGGAAUUACUGGGCGUAAAGCGCGCGUAGACGGUUUUGUAAGUCAGAUGUGAAAUCCCUGGGCUCAACCUGGGAACUGCAUUUGAGACUGCAUGGCUAGAGUAUGGAAGAGGGAAGUGGAAUUUCCGGUGUAGCGGUGAAAUGCGUAGAUAUCGGAAGGAACACCAGUGGCGAAAGCGACUUCCUGGUCCAAUACUGACGUUCAUGUGCGAAAGCGUGGGGAGCAAACAGGAUUAGAUACCCUGGUAGUCCACGCCAUAAACGAUGACAACUAGAUGUUGGGAGGGUCUGCCUCUCGGUGUCGCAGCUAACGCG